UACGAAGGAUCCUAGCGUUGUCCGGAUUUACUGGGUUUAAAGGGCGCGUAGGCGGUCUUUUAAGUCAGUGGUGAAAGCCUGCAGCUUAACUGUAGAAUUGCCAUUGAAACUGAUUGUCUCGAGUGCGGUUGAGGUCACUGGAAUGUAUCAUGUAGCGGUGAAAUGCUUAGAUAUGAUACAGAACACCAAUUGCGAAGGCAGGUGACUAAGCCGUAACUGACGCUGAGGCUCGAAAGCGUGGGGAUCAAACAGG
Molecule: ribosomal RNA, 253 nt
Filed under: uncultured bacterium
Lineage: Bacteria
Description: partial 16S ribosomal RNA
Rfam family: Bacterial small subunit ribosomal RNA
Source: RNAcentral